Molecule: long non-coding RNA, 791 nt
Organism: Salvia hispanica
Lineage: Eukaryota; Viridiplantae; Streptophyta; Magnoliopsida; Lamiales; Lamiaceae
Source: RefSeq, a predicted model, not a curated record
CUAUACUUGCUAGAGGUUUCUAUUGCCAUGAUUCUAUGAUUAUACUACAUCUUUUAUCAGCUAAUAGCCCAGGUUUAAGACACGUGCUUUAACAUGCUUUGGGUUGAUUUCUACAUGGUUGAUAUGCAAAUUUGAUUGGGAGAAGGGUUAGAGGUGGAAUACCUCUUGAAGCUGCGGCUGCCUUGAGGAAAUCAGCUCUUAAAACCUCAGUUUUCUUCCUCUCAAACUUGCUACUGCUUGUUCUUGGUUCUCACUAGAGUUGCUAAAAUUUGAGAUGUGUAGGAGGGUGUUUAAAGGUGGUGUGGAGGGGAUUUUAUAGGCUGGGCUUUGGCGUACUAUGGGGGAAUUAAAUGGGGCUGAUCUCUCUUGUCUUCAUAUCACAACAUAUCUCUCUUUUUCUGAUCAUGCAGCCCCUUUGUCUUAAUGUAGUUUGUUGGCUAGUUUGGGUACUUGGUACUUGGUGAAUAAAUCCCAUUGUUUGAUUGUGGCUAGGUAUAACAGGUGCUGCAUUAGUGAAGGGCUUUGCAGGCUGGACUUGCCCCCUUUUUGGGUAAGUCCUUGGUCUUCAUAGGAAAAGAAAGGUGAGAGAGGAAUCUUAGCUCCCACCUAGCUGCACUUCGAGCGGGCCUGGAUUUGAUGUCUGGGCCGACGGGCUGCCCGAAACGGGCCCUAAAUUGGGCCUGGAGAAAAGGCCCGAAAUGCACUCCACAUUUUAUAUUUUCCUUUCCUUGUUUUCUUUCUUUAAGGACUUUGAUCCAUGUAACCUAUUCCAUUAGUUGUUCAUUUUGUUG